UUAUGCAGCUAAAAUGUGUGUGGGCUAUAAGAAAUGAAGUUAAAAGUAAAGUUCAUUAAUCCCUUUCCUUUCUUUUCCCUGCCUCCCUUCCUUCAUUCCUUUGUUCCUUCGUUCCUUCUUCUCUUAGGCUUCAUUUUAUGACCAGGAAACUUUGUUAUACCUCUAUUCCUUACGGAUGCCUUUGUAACACAACAGUGAAGCAGUAUGUGGGACUGAGCAGAUUGAUUGCAACCCAAGUCUAUCAUAUGUGUUAAACAAAUGCCCAAUGGACUAAAUAAAUGAAUGAAUAAAUCAGCGAUGAAAUCCAAGGAAGUAAAAAACAGUAAAGGAAGAGAUGUGGACACUCACAAGGACAAAAAAUACCCCAUCAUGAUAUCAGGAUAUUGGCAACAUUUGCUAAAAACACACUAUG
Long non-coding RNA from Prionailurus viverrinus (fishing cat), 412 nucleotides. RefSeq lists it as uncharacterized. The record is from RefSeq and is a predicted model, not a curated record. The transcript has 3 exons. Lineage: Eukaryota; Metazoa; Chordata; Mammalia; Carnivora; Felidae.